RNAcentral lists this ribosomal RNA (463 nucleotides) under uncultured bacterium. RNAcentral's name for it is "partial 16S ribosomal RNA". It matches the Rfam family "Bacterial small subunit ribosomal RNA", at positions 28 to 507 of the family's 1533-position model. The record is from RNAcentral.
GAUGAACGCUGACAGAAUGCUUAACACAUGCAAGUCUUUGGCGAAGCUGUGCUUGCACAGCCUAGCCAAGGCGGACGGGUGAGUAACGCGUAAGGAACUUGCCCUGCAGUCAGGGAUAACAGACGGAAACGACUGAUAAGACCUGGUAAAGUCAGGCGGACUCAUGUCCAGCCUGAUGAAAAGAGAUGCUGCAGGAGAGCCUUGCGUCCUAUUAGCUUGUUGGUGGGGUAACGGCCCACCAAGGCGAUGAUAGGUAGCCGGCCUGAGAGGGUGGACGGCCACAAGGGGACUGAGAUACGGCCCUUACUCCUACGGGAGGCAGCAGUGGGGAAUAGUGGACAAUGGGGGCAACCCUGAUCCAGCAAUUCUGUGUGCACGAUGAAGGUUUUCGGAUUGUAAAGUGCUUUCAGCGGGGAAGAAAAAAAUGACGGUACCUGCAGAAGAAGCGACGGCUAAAUACGUG